GGUUGACCUCGGAUCAGGUAGGACUACCCGCUGAACUUAAGCAUAUCAAUAAGCGGAGGAAAAGAAACCAACAGGGAUUGCCCUAGUAACGGCGAGUGAAGCGGCAACAGCUCGAAUUUGAAAUCUGGCCUCGGCCCGAGUUGUAAUCUGUAGAGGACGCUUUUGGCGCGGUGCCUUCCGAGUUCCCUGGAACGGGACGCCACAGAGGGUGAGAGCCCCGUAAGGUCGGACACCAAGCCUGUGUAAAGCCCCUUCGACGAGUCGAGUAGCUUGGGAAUGCUGCUCUAAGCGGGAGGUAUACUUCUUCUAAAGCUAAAUAUUGGCCAGAGACCGAUAGCGCACAAGUAGAGUGAUCGAAAGAUGAAAAGCACUUUGAAAAGAGGGUCAAAUAGUACGUGAAAUUGUUGAAAGGGAAGCGCUUGUGAUCAGACUCGCGCCGGGCGGAUCAUCCAGUGGUCUCCACUGGUGCACUCCGGCCGGCGCGGGCCAGCGUCGGCUGUUGCGGGGGGACAAAAGCUCUGGGAACGUAGCUCUCUCCGGGGAGUGUUAUAGCCCUCUGCAGAAUACCCCCGCGGCGGCCGAGGUCCGCGCAUUGCAAGGACGCUGGCGUAAUGGUCAUCAGCGACCCGUCUUGAAACACGGACCAAGGAGUCGAGGUUUUGCGCGAGUGUUCGGGUGCAAAGCCCCAACGCGUAAUUAACGUGAACGUAGGUGAGAGCUUCGGCGCAUCAUCGACCGAUCCUGAUGUAUUCGGAUGGAUUUGAGUAGGAGCGUAAAGCCUCGGACCCGAAAGAUGGUGAACUAUGCCUGUAUAGGGUGAAGCCAGAGGAAACUCUGGUGGAGGCUCGCAGCGGUUCUGACGUGCAAAUCGAUCGUCAAAUAUGGGCAUGGGGGCGAAAGACUAAUCGAACCAUCUAGUAGCUGGUUACCGCCGAAGUUUCCCUCAGGAUAGCAGUGUUGUUCUUCAGUUUUAUGAGGUAAAGCGAAUGAUUAGGG
RNAcentral lists this ribosomal RNA (996 nucleotides) under Phialemonium atrogriseum. RNAcentral's name for it is "partial large subunit ribosomal RNA". It matches the Rfam family "Eukaryotic large subunit ribosomal RNA", at positions 1 to 1026 of the family's 3401-position model. The record is from RNAcentral. Lineage: Eukaryota; Fungi; Ascomycota; Sordariomycetes; Cephalothecales; Cephalothecaceae.